CCUACGGGAGGCAGCAGUGGGGAAUAUUGGGCAAUGGGCGCAAGCCUGACCCAGCAACGCCGCGUGAAGGAAGAAGGCUUUCGGGUUGUAAACUUCUUUUGUCAGGGACGAAGCAAGUGACGGUACCUGACGAAUAAGCCACGGCUAACUACGUGCCAGCAGCCGCGGUAAUACGUAGGUGGCAAGCGUUAUCCGGAUUUAUUGGGUGUAAAGGGCGUGUAGGCGGGAAUGCAAGUCAGAUGUGAAAACUAUGGGCUCACCCCAUAGCCGGCAUUUGAAACUGUAUUUCUUGAGUGCUGGAGAGACAAUCGGAAUCCGGUGUGUAGCGUCGAAAUGCUUGGAUAUACGGAGGCCCACCAGUGGCGAAGGCGGAUAGCUGGACAGUA
RNAcentral lists this ribosomal RNA (386 nucleotides) under uncultured bacterium. RNAcentral describes it as "partial 16S ribosomal RNA". It matches the Rfam family "Bacterial small subunit ribosomal RNA", at positions 338 to 738 of the family's 1533-position model. The record is from RNAcentral.